UCUUAUUGGUGGGUUUAAGCCAUCCAAUCAGAGUGCUCUGACAGGUUAAUGUCACAGCACUCUGAUUGGUUGGCUUGAAAUCCACCAAUCAGAGUGCUUUGUGUCAUUUUACACAGCGUGGGAAAGUUCUUUGGAAUUUUCUCACGCUGUGUAAAAUGAAACAGAGCACUCUGAUUGGCUGGAUUUCAAGCUAACCAAUCAGAGUGCUAUGUGUCAUUUUACACAAUGUGGGAAAUUUCUUUGAAUUUCUCUGAACCUCGGGCCAAUCGCACAUCCCUGUGGCGACGACUUUGCAUGCGGAUGUCAUCCAUAGCAACUUUCGAUGCCAGUUUCUGCGCCUACCAUGGUGACCACGGGUAACGGGGAAUCAGGGUUCCAUUCCGUACAGGGACCAUGAGAAACGGCUACCACAUGGAAGGAAGGCAGCAGGCGCGCAAAUUACCCAUUCCCAACGCGGGAAGGUAGUGACGACAAAUAACAAUACAGGACUCUUUAGAGGCUCUGUAAUUGUAAUGAGGCCACUUGAAGUCCUUUAACUCUGAUCAAUUGGAGGGAAGUCUGGUGCAGAGCCACUGACCCGUGUGUGCUGCAGCAGAAACUCCACUA
Non-coding RNA from Pelobates cultripes (western spadefoot toad), 606 nucleotides. The record is from the annotation of a GenBank genome assembly. NCBI's taxonomy places the organism in Eukaryota, Metazoa, Chordata, Amphibia, Anura, Pelobatidae.